UGUCCUAUAUUUCACCAAAUUUUUAGAUGAUGGAACAAAACCUAAUCGAUCUUCAUUUGGGUUUAUAGGAUUUAAUUCUGGACUGGUUUGGUUCGACUCUGUUUUCAAGAGUUGGGAAGCAGAUCACGAUCGAUUGAAUUGAUUCCAUGUCGGUGCAAGACACACUGUUUCGCUUUAUGCAUAAUUCCAUUGUUUUGACCGAAGAGGACUUGUAAGUUCAGGAGAUGUUUCCAUUUAAUUGACAAACUGAUUUUAAAUGUAGGUUUGUAUAAGGG
Molecule: long non-coding RNA, 275 nt
Filed under: Elaeis guineensis (African oil palm)
Lineage: Eukaryota; Viridiplantae; Streptophyta; Magnoliopsida; Arecales; Arecaceae
Description: long non-coding RNA (EGUI_LNC000946)
Source: RNAcentral